UACGGAAGGCAGCAGUGGGGAAUAUUGCACAAUGGGCGCAAGCCUGAUGCAGCCAUGCCGCGUGUAUGAAAAAGGCCUUCGGGUUGUAAAGUACUUUCAGUCGUGAGGAAGGUGUUAAGGUUAAUAACCUUAGCAAUUGACGUUAGCGACAGAAGAAGCACCGGCUAACUCCGUGCCAGCAGCCGCGGUAAUACGGAGGGUGCGAGCGUUAAUCGGAAUUACUGGGCGUAAAGGGCACGCAGGCGGUUAAUUAAGUUGGAUGUGAAAUCCCCGGGCUUAACCUGGGAAUGGCAUUCAAGACUGGUUAGCUAGAGUCUUGUAGAGGGGGUAGAAUUCCAUGUGUAGCGGUGAAAUGCGUAGAGAUGUGGAGGAAUACCGGUGGCGAAGGCGGCCCCUGGAUAAAGACUGACGCUCAUGUGCGAAAGCGUGGGGAGCGAAACAGGGAUUAGAU
Molecule: ribosomal RNA, 451 nt
Filed under: uncultured bacterium
Lineage: Bacteria
Description: bacterial SSU rRNA
Rfam family: Bacterial small subunit ribosomal RNA
Source: RNAcentral